UCCUGCCUACGGGAGGCAGCAGUGAGGAAUAUUGGUCAAUGGGCGCGAGCCUGAACCAGCCAAGUCGCGUGAGGGAAGACGGUCCUAUGGAUUGUAAACCUCUUUUGCCGGGGAGCAAAGUGCCGCACGUGUGCGGUUUGGAGAGUACCCGGAGAAAAAGCAUCGGCUAACUCCGUGCCAGCAGCCGCGGUAAUACGGAGGAUGCGAGCGUUAUCCGGAUUUAUUGGGUUUAAAGGGUGCGUAGGCGGACGCUUAAGUCAGCGGUAAAAUUGCGGGGCUCAACCUCGUCGAGCCGUUGAAACUGG
This 305-nucleotide ribosomal RNA is filed under the name uncultured bacterium. Its description in RNAcentral is "bacterial SSU rRNA". It matches the Rfam family "Bacterial small subunit ribosomal RNA", at positions 334 to 636 of the family's 1533-position model. The record is from RNAcentral.